AUGUACAAUGUCGCACGGCAGGCAUACGACCGGUUCUUUUCUGUGUGCGGCAGCCCAAACAAAGCCCAGAAUGCGGUGGCGCUGCUGGUGUGGUUAGACCAGGGCACCAUCUCCUCCAUACACCACGUCCCAGCCAUGGCGCCCGACGCUGUAGUUGUCGUCGCAGAAGAGGCCAACGCCGUCCUCGAGUGCCUCCACCACCAAAAACCUGUUCUCCCGCCCAUCCCGAUCAUCUCUGCGCUCUGCAUGCAAGGUGGUGUCCACAUCGAGUUGGGCUUCUUCGCCUUCCACAAGGACCUCAUUGUCCGCGGGGUCGCCCACUUCCUCGACGGUGCCGGAAAGUUCGUAUUUGAUGAUCGCCUGCACGCCCUGCUCCGGAGGUCCGAGACUAGGCUGAUUCUCAACCCGCCGGAGCUCAUGGCGCCCUACACCUCCCAACCAGUGGCCGUUCCGUAGGGCUGCCGCUCCAUGUUCAUCACCUUCUCCAAGGGAAAUGCCAUCCACCGCAAGGAGAUCUUUGAGUACUUCAAGCAGUAA
Molecule: ribosomal RNA, 537 nt
Filed under: Triticum aestivum (bread wheat)
Lineage: Eukaryota; Viridiplantae; Streptophyta; Magnoliopsida; Poales; Poaceae
Description: partial small subunit ribosomal RNA
Source: RNAcentral